CUGAUUAUAUUAAAGAGCCGCAGUAUUCUGACUGUGCGAAGGUAGCAUAAUAAAUUGUCUUUUAAAUGGAGGCUUGAAUGAAAGGUUGGACAAAGUAUCAUCUGUUUCUUAAAUAUUUAUUGAAUUUGACUUUCAAGUGAAAAGGCUUGAAUAAAUUAAAAAGACGAUAAGACCCUAUAAAUCUUUACAAUAAGCAUGUUCUAUAUUUUAAUUUAUAAGUGUAUAAAAUAUUAAAUUUGUAUUUGUUUCGCUGGGGCGGCGUGGAUAUAUUAAUAAACUGUCUAUGUGUUAAAUCCAAUAAUUAUUGAUUAGUGAGAUUGAUCCUUAAAUAGAUUAAAAGAUUAAGAUACUUUAGGGAUAACAGCGUUAUUUUUUUUGAGAGUUCUUAUCGAAGAAAAAGUUUGCGACCUCGAUGUUGAAUUAAAGUAUCUUUAUGGUGCAGCCGCUAUAAGAGAGAGUCUGUUCGACUUUUAAUACUUUACAUGAUCUGA
This 491-nucleotide ribosomal RNA is filed under the name Pagurus bernhardus (common hermit crab). RNAcentral's name for it is "partial 16S ribosomal RNA". It matches the Rfam family "Bacterial large subunit ribosomal RNA", at positions 1912 to 2608 of the family's 2925-position model. The record is from RNAcentral. Lineage: Eukaryota; Metazoa; Arthropoda; Malacostraca; Decapoda; Paguridae.